Molecule: long non-coding RNA, 209 nt
Organism: Pimephales promelas (fathead minnow)
Lineage: Eukaryota; Metazoa; Chordata; Actinopteri; Cypriniformes; Leuciscidae
Source: RefSeq, a predicted model, not a curated record
AUUGCUGACGUCAUGACGCAUAAGCCUGUCUGGAACUUUCUGCUCGACCGCCAUUUUCUUUUUCGCACUCGGAUGAAUAAGCUUUUUCAAGUUUGACGAUUGAGGACGACACUUUGCUAUAACAUUACAUGACUGAAAACAUUCACACGGAAAGAAGAGUGUCCUGAAGGCCCUCAUCGUUUUCCUGGGGAAAAAUCCGGUAACUCUUU